This 506-nucleotide long non-coding RNA is filed under the name Brassica napus (rape). RNAcentral's name for it is "long non-coding RNA (BNAP_LNC013476)". Lineage: Eukaryota; Viridiplantae; Streptophyta; Magnoliopsida; Brassicales; Brassicaceae. The record is from RNAcentral.
AGACUAGAGACAAGUGUAACACAAUGUCACCUUCUUGAGAUAAAAAUGGAACAGAAACAGCAACUCAAAAGUCUAGCAGACAUCUAAAGAUUGGUAUCCUUCUGCAACAUAACUUUACAAUUUUGUUCACAAUCAAAUCUUUGUUGAGAGUACACGAAUCAUAUAACCUAAAGUCAGCUUGCCCAGUUGAAUAUUAAAGAAAAGAGCUUACCCGUCGUUUGGUUUUGCUCAUACUUUCUUCCUCUUUCUGAGGAGAAACAUCUUUAGGACGCGGAGUUCUCUUGUACUUAGAUUUUGUUGAUCUUGAAGGCGCCAUUAGCUAAGCCUCUUCUAUACAACCUUUUCAAAACUGAAAUCAUGUUUAGUUUUACCAAAGAUUCAAAACCCAAUAGCACUAUAAAUCACAAAAGCUCAAUCCUACAUCUAUCUGUUAAUACAGCAAGCAGAAACCUAAUUGAUUCUACAAUUGCUUCAUCUAUCAGUUUCAACAGUACUUCCGCUCAAAC